RNAcentral lists this unclassified non-coding RNA (389 nucleotides) under Hevea brasiliensis (rubber tree). The record is from RNAcentral. Lineage: Eukaryota; Viridiplantae; Streptophyta; Magnoliopsida; Malpighiales; Euphorbiaceae.
UAAAAAAAAAAAUCGAGUUCUUAAACGAUCAACAUGCUUUAGGAAUCUCUUUUCUUGCAGAGAAAAUGCAGAACCAAAAAUAAAAAAUUAAUAAAAUAAAUAGGAACAAACAAAAUGAGAGCAGCCACACACACACGUUUAUACAUAAACAACAAGAAGUAAAGCUUAAUAAAAACAAAAUUCGAGUGCCGCAACAAAAUUGGCAAUUUAUUUUGAAGAAAAGAAAAUCCAAGAGUUUCUAUUUGGUUGGUGAGAAAAUGAAAAGAAGAAAAUAUCAACUACGACUUGCCAAGUGAAAGCAAAGCGUAACAGAGAGAACAGGAAAUGAAGAGCUUACCUUAAUUUAGAAAAGAAAAAGAGAAAUAUCGAGAGGAGGACAAAGGUAGAGG